GGGCCUAUAGCUCAGCGGCAGAGCAUCCGGCUCAUAACCGGGCGGUCCCUGGUUCGAUGCCAGGUGGGCCCA
RNAcentral lists this transfer RNA (72 nucleotides) under Peptococcus niger. It matches the Rfam family "tRNA". Rfam says of the family: Transfer RNA (tRNA) molecules are approximately 80 nucleotides in length. Their secondary structure includes four short double-helical elements and three loops (D, anti-codon, and T loops). RNAcentral also lists the same sequence under 3 other names. The record is from Rfam by way of RNAcentral. Lineage: Bacteria; Bacillati; Bacillota; Clostridia; Eubacteriales; Peptococcaceae.